Weissella kandleri is the source of this 72-nucleotide transfer RNA. It matches the Rfam family "tRNA". Rfam says of the family: Transfer RNA (tRNA) molecules are approximately 80 nucleotides in length. Lineage: Bacteria; Bacillati; Bacillota; Bacilli; Lactobacillales; Lactobacillaceae. The record is from Rfam.
UGGGUAUUAGCCAAGCGGUAAGGCACUAGUUUCUGGUACUAGCAUGCGCUGGUUCGAAUCCAGCAUACCCAG